AACGAAUGCUCGUGGCGUGCUUAACACAUGCAAGUCGAACGCUAAGUCCUUCGGGGCUUUGAGUGGCAGACGGGUGAGUAAUGCAUAGGAACGUACCUUCAGGAGGGGGACAACCACUGGAAACGGUGGCUAAUACCGCAUGAAGUCGAGAGAUGAAAGGUGGCCUCUACUUGUAAGCUACCGCCUGGAGAUCGGCCUAUGUCCCAUUAGCUUGUUGGUGAGGUAACGGCUCACCAAGGCAAUGAUGGGUAGCUGGUCUGAGAGGAUGAUCAGCCACACUGGGACUGAGACACGGCCCAG
Molecule: ribosomal RNA, 300 nt
Filed under: uncultured bacterium
Lineage: Bacteria
Description: bacterial SSU rRNA
Rfam family: Bacterial small subunit ribosomal RNA
Source: RNAcentral